RNAcentral lists this transfer RNA (68 nucleotides) under Marmota monax (woodchuck). RNAcentral describes it as "tRNA.Ala". Lineage: Eukaryota; Metazoa; Chordata; Mammalia; Rodentia; Sciuridae. The record is from RNAcentral.
GCGGUGGUUCAGUGGUAGAGCACUCGCCUAGCAUGUGCAAGGCCCUGGGUUCAAUCCCCAGUACCACA